GAUGAACGCUGGCGGCGUGCCUAAUACAUGCAAGUCGAGCGAACAGACGAGGAGCUUGCUCCUCUGACGUUAGCGGCGGACGGGUGAGUAACACGUGGAUAACCUACCUAUAAGACUGGGAUAACUUCGGGAAACCGGAGCUAAUACCGGAUAAUAUAUUGAACCGCAUGGUUCAAUAGUGAAAGACGGUUUUGCUGUCACUUAUAGAUGGAUCCGCGCCGCAUUAGCUAGUUGGUAAGGUAACGGCUUACCAAGGCAACGAUGCGUAGCCGACCUGAGAGGGUGAGCGGCCACACUGGAACUGAGACACGGUCCAGACUCCUACGGGAGGCAGCAGUAGGGAAUCUUCCGCAAUGGGCGAAAGCUUGACGGAGCAACGCCGCGUGAGUGAUGAAGGUCUUCGGAUCGUAAAACUCUGUUAUUAGGGAAGAACAAAUGUGUAAGUAACUAUGCACGUCUUGACGGUACCUAAUCAGAAAGCCACGGCUAACUACGUA
Molecule: ribosomal RNA, 497 nt
Filed under: uncultured bacterium
Lineage: Bacteria
Description: partial 16S ribosomal RNA
Rfam family: Bacterial small subunit ribosomal RNA
Source: RNAcentral